UGUUAGCAUCACGGUUAUUUUAGCCGGUGUCUUCUUUGUGUGGAGACAAAAUACAACCAAAACCAAGACAAGAUCCAGAGAUGAAGCUGAAAGAGGAGAAAAGCUCCUGCCAGAGGAAACAGUGACGAUGAAGGUUUUUGGAAGAAGAAAGAAGAAAAUGAAAGACCUGACAGAGAAAUAUGAGAAGAUUGAAGAAGAGCUGCAGAAAACCAAAGAAGAUCUGAAGAACAAGACUGAAGAGAUGGAGAAACAUGUAGAGACACACACAUAAACACUAUCAUUAUGUUAUUGAGGACUGAUCAACACAACUGUGACUUUGCUCCAUCUACUGGUGAAAUGAUACAACUGCAGGUUUUCUCCUCCUCUCAGGUUAAUGAACUAAAGGAGGAGAAGAAGAAGCAGCAGGAGGAGAUGGAGGCCAGAAACAAAGAGAUGGAGGAGAUAAAAGAUGAGGUGAAAUACAAGCAUCAUUCUCAUCAGAAACAACAACAUCCAGAAAGUUAAAUGUGUGCACAUAUACAGGUCUUGUAUAAAUCAAUUUAAUAUUAAUUUGUCCUUCAGAUUAAAAGUCAAAUGUGUCGUUUAGUCUGAAAUGAAGAAAUAGAAUCAGUGAUGAUAAAAUCUUUUUAUUCGAUUUUAAUAAAUUAUUCCAGUUGGAGGAAAACAAAGCUGCUGCUUCCAAGUCUAUCUGGCCUUUCAGGGUAAGUGAUCACAUUGUAAGAACUAUGAUACAAUCUGUAUGUCCAUCAUUUAUAACCUUUCCUUUUCUGUCUUCAUUCUUCUCAGUCGUCUAGUUCCAACAAACAGAAGGAGGAGUCAGAGACAAUCAAACCUGAACAAACACAGAACAGCAGCAGCUCAGACAGUCAGGAGACGUCAGGAGACGUCAUUGUGGUGGUUAAUGCCAACUACAACUGUAUCUGUCUGAGAAACGAGUCUGAUCAGGACAAACCACUGGGAGGACGUCAGUUAAAAGUCCAGAUCAACAAUAGUGAACCCAUCACAUACACAUUUGAUCCAUCAAUGAAACUCAAGGCUGGAAAGUCUGUUACUAUAUACUGUCCAGACCAUAAGCCUCUUUAUUUUGUCCCUGGUGACCUGGUGUGGAAGGACCUGAAGUCCUGGAAGUCUGGUGACAGAGUCCAGGUCUCUCUGCAGUGAAAUAGUUCCCAGUUGAACUCCUUCAAUAAAGUUCAGUAAUCCAGCAAACAGCAACAUUAUAGAUGAGAAA
Molecule: RNA transcript, 1231 nt
Organism: Mugil cephalus (flathead mullet)
Lineage: Eukaryota; Metazoa; Chordata; Actinopteri; Mugiliformes; Mugilidae
Gene name: lamin-A-like
Exons: 6
Source: RefSeq, a predicted model, not a curated record